Molecule: long non-coding RNA, 1000 nt
Organism: Oncorhynchus tshawytscha (Chinook salmon)
Lineage: Eukaryota; Metazoa; Chordata; Actinopteri; Salmoniformes; Salmonidae
Source: Ensembl
UUUAGGACAAAGGCUGACUUUUAAUACAAAUGGUUUUAUUAUCAUACAUUUCUUUAUCCAUCCCUGGGUAGGACAUGAGGUGGAGGGGGGAGAGGAGUAGAAGGGGGAAGAGAGGGAGAAGGGGGGAGAGAGAAGGGGGAAGAGAGGAGAGGGGGAAAGAGGGGAGGGGGAGAGAAGGGGGAAGAGAGGGAGAAGGGGGAGUAGAAGGGGGAAGAGAGGGAGAAGGGGGAAGAGAGGGAGAAGGUGAGGGGGAGUAGAAGGGGGAAGAGAGGGAGAAGGUGAGGGGGGGAUAGAAGGGGGAAGAGAGGGAGAAGGUGAGGGGGGGAGUAGAAGGGGGAAGAGAGGGAGAAGGUGAGGGGGAGUAGAAGGGGGAAGAGAGGGAGAAGGGGAGGGAGGUAUAUAUGGUGCCUUACUGUGUGUGGCUUUGGUCAAAAGUAGUGCACCAUUAUAGGGAAUAGGAUGCCAUUUGAGGGUACAUCCCCACUGUGUAGUAAUAGGAUCUUCUAUGUUAUUUACACUGUCUCUCACUCACACUCCGCUCAUAACACACUGACUAUAGCACAGUGAUGAUAUAAGAGACCAGAGAUAUGCUGGGAAAGUAACAAAAAGCACCACACAUGUUGUACGUCUGACUGGUACAUAGUUACUGUACAGGAAAUAAAGGAAUCGUUUUCCAUUGGAAUGUCUUAGUUCCUCGACGGCCAAACGCUUCCAUUGUUUAACAGAAGCGUCUGACUAGAUGGAUCAGUGUGUGUGUGUGUGUGUGUGUGUGUGUGUGUUCAGAGGCUUCUGUUGGCUCCUAGAUGUAUCUGUGUGUGUUCAGAGGCUUCUGUUGGCUCCUAGAUGUAUCUGUGUGUGUUCAGAGGCUUCUGUUGGCUCCUAGAUGUAUCUGUGUGUGUUCAGAGGCUUCUGUUGGCUCCUAGAUGGAUCUGUGUGUGUUCAGAGGCUUCUGUUGGCUCCUAGAUGUAUCUGUGUGUGUUCAGAGGCUUCUGUUGGCUCC